RNAcentral lists this ribosomal RNA (253 nucleotides) under uncultured bacterium. RNAcentral's name for it is "partial 16S ribosomal RNA". It matches the Rfam family "Bacterial small subunit ribosomal RNA", at positions 524 to 776 of the family's 1533-position model. The record is from RNAcentral.
UACGUAUGUCUCGAGCGUUACCCGGAAUUACUGGGUGUAAAGCGUCCGCAGGCGGCAUAAUAAGUUGAAUAUGAAAGACCGAGGCUCAACCUCGAGUUUGUAUUCAAAACUGUUAAGCUAGAAUCAGGGAGAGGUAAGCAGAAUUCUGAGUGUAGGGGUGCAAUCCGUAGAUACUCAGAGGAAUACCAAAAGCGAAGGCAGCUUACUGGAACUCGAUUGACGCUCAUGGACGAAAGCGUGGGGAGCGAAAAGG